UAAAAUUAUUCAAAAUAAAAAGUCAGAUAUGAGCUGUAUGACGUUGUUGGUACAAUUUUUUGGUCACAAAGAAAUGGGCCACAAUAACGUUAACAGUGACACAAAUCAUACAAAAUAUUGAAAAGUAUAAUAUAGAUGAACAGUGACUUGUGAUCACAGUUCAGUGAUUAUAAAUUAUGUGCCCUUUGAAAUAAUAUGAUGAUAUCUGAGUUUAAUUUUGCUUCACUCUCUAAUCUCUAUUCUGUAUUUAUCUAAUUUUAAAAAAUGGAUGCUCCAGGGGAAAAUGAGGAUCAAUCAUACCUUGGACAUGUUAAAAAGCGCCACGAGGAUAAAGGCUUUUUUUACGCUUGUUUGUUUGCCCUGUGUUGCUGUUUCUGCUGCUUCGAGACUUGUGAAUGUUGUUUUGAUGUUCUUUGCUGUGGCUGCUGUUGAUCAUCAAGGAAAAUACACAUACAUACAUAUGUAUGAAUAAAGGGUGUUCAUCAUUUCAUGAUUUUCUUUGUGCAUUUAUUUUUUAUCUUUUUGGAUUUUUUUUUGUAACGUUAAAAGAAGGAAAACUAGAAAAGAUAGUACUGUUCAAUUCACAGCAGUGAAUGAUAAUUAAUUUUAUCCAAUCUUCUUUCUUCCUUUUAAUUUUACUCUCUUUAUGUUAAUGUUAUUGUGUUUGAUGAAUAAAAAGAAAGUAUAUGAUGCUUUUAAUGA
Long non-coding RNA from Cannabis sativa, 702 nucleotides. RefSeq lists it as uncharacterized. NCBI's taxonomy places the organism in Eukaryota, Viridiplantae, Streptophyta, Magnoliopsida, Rosales, Cannabaceae. The record is from RefSeq and is a predicted model, not a curated record. The transcript is spliced from 2 exons.